RNAcentral lists this ribosomal RNA (300 nucleotides) under uncultured bacterium. RNAcentral's name for it is "bacterial SSU rRNA". It matches the Rfam family "Bacterial small subunit ribosomal RNA", at positions 337 to 629 of the family's 1533-position model. The record is from RNAcentral.
GCCUACGGGGCGCAGCAGUAGGGAAUUUUCGUCAAUGGGCGCAAGCCUGAACGAGCAAUGCCGCGUGUGGGAUGAAGGCCCUCGGGUUGUAAGCCACUUUUGUAGAGAACGAAAAGACACCUUCGAAUAAAGGGUGUUGCUGACGGUACUCUAAGAAUAAGCACCGGCUAACUACGUGCCAGCAGCCGCGGUAAUACGUAGGGUGCGAGCGUUAAUCGGAAUUACUGGGCGUAAAGGGUGCGCAGGCGGUUGAGUAAGACAGAUGUGAAAUCCCCGAGCUUAACUCGGGAAUGGCAUAUG